RNAcentral lists this long non-coding RNA (204 nucleotides) under Elaeis guineensis (African oil palm). Its description in RNAcentral is "long non-coding RNA (EGUI_LNC072920)". The record is from RNAcentral. Lineage: Eukaryota; Viridiplantae; Streptophyta; Magnoliopsida; Arecales; Arecaceae.
GGGGACCCAAUUCCUUUAUUCUAUUCUCACGAUCAUCGGCCGAUCACCGACGACCAUAACCUUCGGAGAAGGAAGGUAGGGAGGUGGGGAUCAUGACUCAUGGGUGCGGUGGCAUGGACAGCAGUGCUGAUGGUCAAAAAAGGGAGAGAGAAGGUUCGAUCGAACAGAGCAAAAUAGGGUCUCCUUUCCUUCUUGAGUUCCGGC